CCCUUAGAUGUUCUGGGCUGCACGCGCGCUACACUGAUGCGCUCAACGAGUUUACGACCUUGCCCGGAAGGGUUGGGUAAUCUUUUUAAAACGCAUCGUGAUGGGGAUAGAUUAUUGCAAUUAUUAAUCUUUAACGAGGAAUUCCUAGUAAGCGCGAGUCAUCAGCUCGUGCUGAUUACGUCCCUGCCCUUUGUACACACCGCCCGUCGCUCCUACCGAUUGGGUGUGCUGGUGAAAUGUUCGGAUCGGCCGUUUGUCGCGGUUUCCGCGUCAUGUGGCUGAGAAGUUCAUUAAACCCUCCCACCUAGAGGAAGGAGAAGUCGUAACA
This 328-nucleotide ribosomal RNA is filed under the name uncultured eukaryote. RNAcentral's name for it is "partial 18S ribosomal RNA". It matches the Rfam family "Eukaryotic small subunit ribosomal RNA", at positions 1470 to 1796 of the family's 1831-position model. The record is from RNAcentral.